Non-coding RNA from Monodelphis domestica (gray short-tailed opossum), 5194 nucleotides. NCBI's taxonomy places the organism in Eukaryota, Metazoa, Chordata, Mammalia, Didelphimorphia, Didelphidae. The record is from RefSeq and is a predicted model, not a curated record.
UCCUGCUCUAAGGGGAAAGCAAAGUUACCUAGAGUAAAAAAAAAUAAAAUCUGUCAGGUAUGGAACAGGUAGUUUUAUUCCCCACAAAAAGGAGAUGCCAAACAACAAAGAAAGAAUCAUAGAAUGAUUACAAUCAGUCGAGAGGAUAAUAAACAAGCUUCACUGGGCCAUUUACAAAGAGUUUCUGCUAAUUAGCCUUUUACAUUUCACCUCCAUUGAGUACAGCCCAAUCAAUACCAAGUGGGCUCCCUCUUUCCAACUCUCUCCUCCUUCCCUCUCCGCCCUCCCUCCUUCUCCCUCCACUGGAGUGCUUUGAUGGAUGCUACUCUGCUGUCUGGGUACCUUGGAAGAGGAAGACACCAGCUGUUUUUAGGAUCUUACAAAGCCUUUUACCAUAGGGAAAAAAGACACAAAAAUAGGCAGUUCCAUCACAAACACAGACUUGCCUAGAAACCCAGGAGAUCACUACGUGAUGCUGGGUAGAAGAAGGGGCACCCCUGCCACCACCCAACCCUCUAUAGCUCAGAGUUGUUGUAAUACUUCAAGGCCAACAAGAAGAAAAGGUCUGAGGAUUUCCCCUUUAGUAUAUCUGCAGUUCUAGCUAAAUAACCAGUGAAAAGACUUUUCCUCCCCACAAGUUUGAACCCAGUAGUCAUCACUACUACAAGGAAGAGGUCGGAGAAUAGCCUCAUAUUCUUUGAAGCUGGGAAUGGGGAAAGACUCCUCUACACAAAUGAUUACAGCUACCACAGAUCUCUAUGCCUUCGAAUGAAGUGUUGAUUAAACACGGCAUAGGGGGAAAGGAACAAGCAUUGAUUAAGUAACUACUACAUGCCAGGCAUUUUCCUAAGCAUUUUAUAAGUAUUAUUUCAUUUAAUCUUUAUAAUGACCCUGGGAGAUAGGUGCUAUUAGUAUCCCCAUUUUACAGUUAAAGAAACUGAGGCAGACAGACUAAACAACUUGCCCAGUCACAUAGAGACAAAGUGUCUAAGGCCAUAUCUGAACUCAGGUCUUCCUGACUCUAAACCCAGUACCCUGCCCAUUGCAUCACCUACCCACCUAUUAUCUGGAUAGAGGAUACAUUCAGAUCAAAGAAGACUUCUUGGUAGAAGUAACAGAGCUAACUUCAUUUGAUGGUCUUCCAAAUAUAAGAAAAGACAUAAACCAGGGAAAUAAAUGCUGGUAAAGGUGUUUGCCAUUGUAAUGAAAGAUGCCCAUUGCAAAAUGGAAGAGAGAUUCCCUAUAAGUGGUAAGAUCUUCUAUAUGUUCCUAUUAUUGAAUGACAUUAUGCUGAUUGCAUUAAACCUCAGAACUUCACUUCCCUGACCCUGCUAUGGUAUCCGUUAAUACUCAAAAGAAUUUAAUCCCACCAUGUUGUUGUUCAGUCAUUUUUGUUGUGUCUGAUUCUUUGUGAUCCCAUUUGGGGCUUUCUUGGCAAAGACACUGGAGUGGUUUGCCACUUCCUUCUCCAGCUCAUUUUAAAGAUGAGAAACUGAGGCACACAGGGUUAUACAGCUGAUAUAGCUAGUAAGUUUCUGAGGUUGGAAUUCGAACUCAAGACUUCUGACUCCUGGCCCAGCACUCUGUUUACUAAGCCACCUGACUGCUCAAGUAGGAGGUACUGCCUUGAGAGAAGAUGGGUUUCCUCCUAUUGUUUAGUCAUUUUUCAGUCAUACUCAACCCUUUGUGACCACAUUUGGGAUUUUCUUGGCAAAGAUGCUAGAGUGGUUUGCCAUUUCAUUCUCCAGUUCAUUUUAGAGAUGAGGAAACUAAUACCAACUGGGUUAAGUGACUUGCCUAGUGUCAAACAGUAAUUACCUGGGACUAGAUUUGAACUCACAAAGUUGAUUCUUUCUGAUUUCAGGCCUGACAUUCUAUCCAUUGUUCUAUCCAGCUGCUCAGAUCAUGCACAGAGGAAAAAACAAGGGAAUGAAAAAGACUGAUGGACCAUACUAAGAUAUGCAGUUGAACCAUUGAGAGGUUAGUCCCUCUGUGCAUAAUAUCUUGAACUACAGUUAGACAAUGAACUGGACCUAGAAUUAAGUGUGAUUAAAGGGCAAGCUAGAAUCAGUUUAAGAAAUUGGAGAGCAUUUUAGUGACCCAGGCAUUUGUCUAAAACAGAAACCCAACUUUUAUACACCAAUAUUCUCCUAAGGAUGCCAUAUUUUUAGCCUAUGAAUCAGAGAAUACUACAGUCUCCAGAGAAUCUUAAUUAAACUUCAUGAUGGACAUGAAUAGGCUUCAAAAUAUUAACUAGAAAGACUUGUGUCCAAGAAGUGGAAUAAAGAAUGUCAUCAAAGAAAGAUAAAGGAGGGAAAGCCAGAGCUCUAGGCUCAGAAUAAUCUCCUUGGAUUGCCAGCCCCUACAAUCUACUCAAGCCAGCUCACUUGGCAGCUUUAACUCAAAUCACAGGUAAUGAAUAUGGGGGUAAAGUGGCCUUUCCUCAAUAUUUGAGUCAAAUGCAAAAAUGGUUGUAUGUCAAACCUCAAGAUGAACUGAUCCAAAAUACUAGAAUGGCUAACCUGUGACGAUGGUCAGUGAGGAGGGUAAGUUGGGAAAAGAGCAAAGAAUUGAGUAUCAGAGAAUUCAGAUUGGGGAGUUCAAACUAAGUACAACUCAACUAAAUACACAUAUUUUGCAACACUAGGCUAGAAAAUAAGGAGAUUUGGAUUCUAGCCCUAGCUCUGCCACUUGCUAGCUGUAUGACCUGGGGUAAAUCAAUGUUAUGAUUCUAUGACAAAGAUAACCCUGAGGGUCAUAUUAUACAGCCCUAUAUCCCUUUGUUCAAGUCAACAUGUAAAUGAAUGAACAAAUCUUUGUGAAGAGAAACAAAUUUUAAAUAGUGAUCUCAUCCUCAGCCCUCUGAGGGUGCAAAUCAAUCUCACUUUCUCUUCUAGUGACUUUUAUUCAUGAAUUCCCUUAAAGGCUCCACAGAAAGGACUAUAUGAUAUGCUGGGGGUGAGACUUUAGCUCCCUUGAGGUCAUGUGGAGUCAAGAGGAGCAUAUGGGUUUUUCAUUGAUGAUUCAUUGCUACAUGACUAUUCCAUACUCCUUCCUAGUGUCAUCUCUUUCUGGUAACUUCCCUUUGUGCCUUUCACAUCAAAUUUAAAUUUCUUUGACUUUUGAGAAUCAAGAAAAACAUGAAAAUAGGAAUAAAUAUAGUCUGUUCAUGAGACAGUGGAGAGACUGCCCUAAUUGGAAUAGAGAAUUGGUCAUGGUGGCUGAGGAAAUAAGGAUAGAUUGGCAGAAUAGGGCCAGAAUAAGCAGGACUUCAAAAGUCAAAGCAAAGGAAUUUAAACCUGGUGUGGAAGGCAAUUGUUUUAGAUUUUUGCAAAGGAGAAUGAUGCACUAAAAGUAGUCUUAAAAACAGUGAUCUACUAUUGAUGUUUUGUAUGAAUAGAACACAAGAUGGCCAAGUUAAGAAUGUCAUUUAGGGAGUAUAAUAAUAAGGUUGAUAGAUGGUGAUAUCCACUAUAGGAAAUCGGGUUAGAUACUUAAUUGGCUGUCUGUAAGUACCUCAGUUCCCUUUUCUGAAGGGAAGGCAAAGUGAGCCUUCUUCACUGGGCCAGCAUACACAAACCUUGAAGACUAUUUUGUAUAAAAAGUAUCUAUGUUUAUUGAGAAACCAAGGGUAGAAUAUGAGGAUUUAAACAAAAAGAUGCCCUAGUUCUAAAUCCUACUAUUCCAACCCUUCAAUCUAAAUACAUCUCACGAUGGAGAUUUCAGGCCUUCCGGCUACUCUAUCCCUUCCUGGCUCUAGCUAGUUUCCCAUCAAAUCUUUCUAAUCUACCUGACUACAAUCCUGAGUUGUUGGUUUAGUUACUUAUCUCAGAAGUUGUCUCUAAAUUUACUAAGAAUGAACCCAAGAUGACUGAAUUCACUCAGAGCGGAGCCUGGCUCUGAGGUUGGAACCUCAGAGCCCAACAAACAGGAUCUUCAGGUAAAUCUCUCAGGCCGUGUUGGUAAAAAUAGCAGGUGAAGAUAGAUCUUCUGUAAGAUGUUCUCUCCAGUGAAAAAGGAACCUCCAAAGGGAGUUUAAAGGUUUCUCUUCUUCCACAAAAGGUUAAGGUAGAAAACUCAGAAAAGAGCAGCAGCCUUCCUCCCCCAACUCAGGACAGGAAGUGGCAGUUGUUCACUCAAACGCCUUCCUCCAGCUCCCUGUACAUUACAAGAUUCCUUCCAGGGCUCUUGGAAUGAACUCAUGUUAGCAACUCUGGAGACAGCAUCCAAUAUUCUUAAACUUAACCCUGCCAAAAUUCAACUUUCUAUAAUCAGAAGAAAUAUGAUAUGAUGAUUGCAUGGAUGAGAGUACUGUCAGUAAAGAGACAAGAGAAAGUAUUGGUAAGACUGAACCUGUGAUUUUAUUGGUAAAAAAACAUUUCUAAGGAAAAAAAUUAUAUGUAUUUGAUGACCAACUGGAUUAAAAGUCCAGUAGAGUAGGCAUCACAAAAAGAUGGGCUCCAGAUCUUUGGGAUUCCUAGGAUUUUUAUCCCAGAUACCUCAACAAUAAUUUUCAGAUAUCCUAUUCUCUCUUAACAGAGCACUAGUACAAAGAGUCUUGGGUUGGAAGUUUCAGGUGGUUGAUUAGAAUAUCAUUCUGCACUCUCUACCUAUGUUAGUCCUAACUGAUCUGGACCUCAUGUUCUUCAUUUGUAAAGUAGCAUAAGUAACAUCCUACCAAAGAAGGAUGAAGAUCAAGAUGAAGGCAGAAAAUGGAAAGAAGUGACAUGUCUACAGGUUGCUUAAUAUAGAUUCUCUCAUUUGAAGGUAUCAUUGGGUAAUGUGGAGAAGAGAGAAGUUAUAAGAGAAUUUAUAAGGCAUGAAGCAAGACAAGAAGCUGUCAGUCAAAUGAGGAUUCCAUUUGGAAUGUUACUGGAAAAAGCAGUUGGAACCAAGCCAAGGACCAGACUGGGCGGAGAGGCUUUUGGCUUUUGGCUUUUGCCUUCUGGCUGAUGGUGGUGGCUGAAGCUGAAGGGCUUUUGGCUUUUGCUGACUGGCUGAUUUAAAGGAGGAAGAAGAAAGACAGUUGUCCUCAUAUCUCUCUGACUGACUGUUUCACAAUUGUGACAGAAUUACCAAUACUCUUAAUAUCCUCCUAACCCUCAUUGUAGGGAAUAGGGAGAUCCUACUCCUCUUACCUUAUCCUCCAUCCUUGUCCUGUCUUCCCCAAAUAAACCCCUUGUCAAAAAAGAAA